CUCAAAUUUGAAAUCUGGCACCUUCGGUGUCCGAGUUGUAAUUUGAAGAAGGUAACUUUGGAGUUGGCUCUUGUCUAUGUUCCUUGGAACAGGACGUCACAGAGGGUGAGAAUCCCGUGCGAUGAGAUGUCCAACUCUAUGUAAAGUGCUUUCGAAGAGUCGAGUUGUUUGGGAAUGCAGCUCUAAGUGGGUGGUAAAUUCCAUCUAAAGCUAAAUAUUGGCGAGAGACCGAUAGCGAACAAGUACAGUGAUGGAAAGAUGAAAAGAACUUUGAAAAGAGAGUGAAAAAGUACGUGAAAUUGUUGAAAGGGAAGGGUUUGAGAUCAGACUUGGUAUUUUGUAUGUCUUGCUUUCGGGUGGGGCCUCUGCAGUUUACUGGGCCAGCAUCGGUUUGGACGGUAGGAUAAUGACAUUGGAAUGUGGCACUACUUCGGUGGUGUGUUAUAGACUUUGUUGAUACUGCCUGUCUAGACCGAGGACUGCGUCUUUGACUAGGAUGCUGGCAUAAUGAUCCUAAACC
Molecule: ribosomal RNA, 520 nt
Filed under: Scheffersomyces stipitis
Lineage: Eukaryota; Fungi; Ascomycota; Pichiomycetes; Serinales; Debaryomycetaceae
Also listed under: 1 other name
Description: eukaryotic LSU rRNA
Rfam family: Eukaryotic large subunit ribosomal RNA
Source: RNAcentral